This 1359-nucleotide ribosomal RNA is filed under the name metagenome. RNAcentral describes it as "bacterial SSU rRNA". It matches the Rfam family "Bacterial small subunit ribosomal RNA". The record is from RNAcentral.
GGAGCGGCGGACGGGUGAGUAUAAAGUUGGAAUUUGCCUCGUACUCAGGGAUAACUAUCCGAAAGGAUAGCUAAUACCGGAUAGCCUCGAAAGAGUAAAGCUUUUGCGGUACGAGAGAAGCCUACUUUUUAUCAGGUAGUUGGUAGGGUAAGAGCCUACCAAGCCUAUGACGAAUAGCUGGUCUGAGAGGAUGAUCAGCCACACUGGAACUGAGACACGGUCCAGACUCCUACGGGAGGCAGCAGUAAGGAAUUUUCCGCAAUGGACGAAAGUCUGACGGAGCAACGCCGCGUGAAGGAUGACACCCCUAUGGGGCGUAAACUUCUUUUGUGAGGGAAGAUAAUGACGGUACCUCACGAAUAAGGGACGGCUAAUCACGUGCCAGCAGCCGCGGUAAUACGUGAGUCUCAAGCGUUACCCGGAAUUAUUGGGCGUAAAGAGUUCGUAGGAGGAUUGAUAAGUAAGAUGUUCCAACUCACAGCUCAACUGUGAGAUUGCGUUUUAAACUGUCAAUCUAGAAGAUGGUAGAGGUCAAUAGAAUUCCCGGUGUAGAGGUAAAAUCCGUAGAUAUCGGGAGGAAUACCAAUAGCGAAGGCAAUUGACUGGGCCAUUCUUGACUCUGAGGAACGAAAGCGUGGGGAGCGAACGGGAUUAGAUACCCCGGUAGUCCACGCCGUAAACGAUGGACACUUGAUGUAUGCGUCGUCGAACGCGCAUGUGUCGUAGCUAACGCGAUAAGUGUCCCGCCUGAGGAGUACGGUCGCAAGAUUAAAACUCAAAGGAAUAGACGGGGGCCUACACAAGCGGUGGAGCGUGAGGUUUAAUUCGUCGAUAAACGGAGAACCUUACCCAGAUUUGCAUGUAACUGCACGCCUCUAGAGAUAGAGGUUUUCCUACGAGGGUGUUACACAGGUGCUGCAUGGUUGUCGUCAGUUCGUGUCGUGAGAUGUACGGUUAAGUCCGAUAACGAACGCAACCCUCAUUAGCUAGUUGUAAUUUUCUAGCAAGACUGCCGUGUAUAACGCGGAGGAAGGUGGGGAUGACGUCAAAUCAGCAUGGCUCUUACAUCUGGGGCCACACUCGCGCUACAAUGGGGUAUACAGUGAGCGGCGAACCGGUGACGGUAAGCAAAUCUCCUAAAGUACCUCCAAGUUCGGAUUGAAGGCUGAAAUUCGCCUUCAUGAAGUUGGAAUCGCUAGUAACCGUGAAUCAGAAUGUCACGGUGAAUAUGUUCCUAGGCCUUGUACUCACCGCCCGUCAAGUCAUGGGAGUUGGGGGCGCCAGAAGCUAUCUUAGCCAACCUUCGGGGGCGGAUAACCAAGGUGAAACCAAUAACUGGGACUAAGUCGGAACAAGGUA